UGCAAUGCCCGAAAGGGUGACGAAGCGACGCCGCGUGGGUGAGGAAGGCCUUCGGGUUGUAAAGCCCUGUCAGGAAUUAAGAAAUGUAGACUCGCUAAUAUCAGGUCUAUUUGACAAAGGCUCCAAAGGAAGCCACGGCUAACUCUGUGCCAGCAGCCGCGGUAAUACAGAGGUGGCAAGCGUUGUUCGGAAUUAUUGGGCGUAAAGAGCACGUAGGUGGAUUUGUAAGUCAGACGUGAAAGCCUUCUGUUCAACGGAAGAAUUGCAUCUGAAACUACAAACCUUGAGUGUAGGAGGGGAGAAUGGAACUUCUGGUGGAGCGGUGAAAUGCGUAGAUAUCAGAAGGAACGCCGGCGGCGAAAGCGAUUCUCUGGCCUAUUACUGACACUCAGUGUGCGAAAGCUAGGGGAGCAAACGGGAUUAGAUACCCCGGUAGUCCUAGCCGUAAACGAUGGGCACUAAGUAGAGGGGUUUU
Molecule: ribosomal RNA, 475 nt
Filed under: uncultured bacterium
Lineage: Bacteria
Description: bacterial SSU rRNA
Rfam family: Bacterial small subunit ribosomal RNA
Source: RNAcentral